AGCAGAUGGAUUUCUACUACAAUAUUUUAUAAAAAAUAUCCAUUAAUUUUAAUCCUAUCCCAAGAAAAAUAUUAAUUUUUUUAAUAUAUUUUGCGAGUUUAUAUAUCUUUAAAAUUUCCUAAGCCGCUCCUGUUCGCAUUGUAAAGGUUAGGAAAUUUCCUAUUUAUUUGUGUAGCAAUAACCAACUACGUAGAUUGUUAUUGAAAACAUCCAUUAUUCGAGAAUGAAUCCUCUAAAAGGUUUGGUGUUUUUCCUUUAAGUUUUGAGCGCUAAAAACCCUAUGAUAUUAUUGGUCAGAAUUUUGAAAGAUCCUUGAGUUGUAGUUGACGAUUGGUCAAUAGUUUUGGCCGAACGAUCGAGAAGAAAUGCAUCGUUGGGACGCGAGAGAGACGUGACGAUGUAAAGUUAGUUCUAAAAGUACAUCAGCUCUGUAAGCAUCUUUUUGUUAGAACUCAAAAAGUCGCACUUUGCCGGCCAAAAUGGUUUUCUUCUUAUAGUAAAAGAACUAAUGGAUUUCUAACAUGUCAAGGAAUAUAAUGACAAUAGUUUCACGGCAUUUUAAUGGAUAUAUUAUUGUGAAACAGUUCUAUUGUUAUGCAGUUUGAUUUGCCGGUAAAAGAAGUGCGUGGUUUCCUGGUUCCUGUCCUUUAUGUAGCUGUUGCUAUUUUUAUGAUGUUUUGAUUUGUUCAUGUUCCAGUAAGAAAUGCCCAGAUGAUAUUAUUUGGUAUCGAUUUUAUCCAGUUUUGUAAUGAUUUGAAUAUCUUCCCCUCCCAGCCCCGUCUGAAUGGAAAAUUUUGCAGUUCCAAGUGUUGUGACAUGGAUUUUUGUUUUAACAAGGUAUGAUAAUGUUUAUUUUAAAUAAUUCACAAGUGGAUAUUAUUGGUAAAGGUUUUACAUAAUUAAAAAUGUUUGUUUUCAACAUGGAAAAUAUAUUAUGUAAAGUAAAUAUUAGAUGGCAGUGACAUUUGACAGCCAUGUCAAAUUUUUGUUUUGGUACACUGCUAAAAAUAAGGUUAAAAAUUGUAAAAUCAUGUAUUUUGUUAUUAUUAUUCAUUUCUGGUUUGAGAAUGUGUCUAUUCUCAAUAAAAAUAAAAAGGUAUUAAGGUUUAGAUAAACAUUAUAAAAUGUACACAUCUUUAUUUCUGUAACCUCUUUAUUUAAGAAAAUUAUUAACAGAUAUCUAAUACAAGUGAAUAAGUUUUAGAACAGAAGAAAAUAUAAUGGCAUAGAAGCCAAAUGAUAAUAAGUAGCCCACUAUAACCCCAACGAGGAAUCUACGAUGAAUGUCCCCCAGUUGCUUUCCAGUAAGUACUCGAUAUGAGAAUUUGAGGAUUUUUCAAACGGCGUCCCAAUUUGUUUAAAUAGUAGGAAAGUCCUCAAGUCUGUGUAAGUAUCCUUUGCUUAUUUGGUUAUGUAGUUUAGUCUUCUUUAAACCCUCCUACCCCUCCCAACGAAUCUACGACCUGCCACCGCACAAAAAAUGAGCUGCCGUUCGCAUGAAGGUUUGCGUGUCUGUUCCUUCUGCUAGCCCCAUUUCGACUCCCCAGUAUCUCUAUAGAUAGUCUUUCCUUGAUCCCAUUAGAGCAGACAGGUAAAACGCUUCAAAUUGCGCCCAACGUGUGGGGCUCUAAAACGCUUCAAAUGGCCCCGGCAACGUGGGGCCUGUACUUUUUUUGGCCUCCCUCAGACCCCAUUUGCAUGUUCCCACUACCAUGUCCUUUUAGCCUCCUUUCGGUCUCAUUUGUACUACAACUGUUAGGCAGUGCCCGUCUUGGGUAGCCGAUCUCAGUUUGUGGUGCAAGUGUUUCCGAUAACAUGGAAGCUCGACUCGUGUCAUGUUUUGUAUGCCCAUUGUUACAAGUCUAGCUUGUAGACAUGUUCAACUAGUAGUUAGCCUAUCUACUAGUCCCCAAUGUCUUUAGCCACCCCCCACUUAGUGUUACAUUUGUAACGUACACCCUGAAGUUUGACCCGAGUAAAUAUCGCCCAAGUCUUCCCAUGUAGUUUAGCCCAGAUUCCUCUUGUCUUGCCCCCAGAAACUGUUUCAUGUCUGUUAGUGCCCCCGAAACUGUUUCAGUCUGUUAGUCCCCAUGAAAGAGCCCAUUUUUGUAGUUUUUGUUGCAAAAGUUAAUAAUUUUUCCAAAGAGGUGUAAGUAUGUACACAUUUUGUUGUGAUGUUGAUUUGGUCGUGCUGUUGAUUGUAUAGGCAUGUACCAUUUCAUGCAUCAUAGUGUAUUUAACUUGUAACCCCAUAUGUAUACUGGUAUUGUAUUGUAUUGUAAGUAUCGUAGAACAGAAUUGUAUGUUAUUGUAGCGUACUAACUGUAUUGUAUUGAUAUUGUACCCAUGAUGAAAGCAUUGAUUUGAAUUUUUUUGAAAAUAUUGAUGAAAUAUAUAUAGACAAACAGUUGAAUAAAAAAGUAACGUAAAAUUUUUUUGAAAAUUUUGAUUAAAAGUAACGUUAAAUAUUUUGAAUAUUGAAUCCAAUUAUGAAGUAUAACAGUAUGUUGUAUUUUUUGCAUGUAUUCCUAUAGAUCAACAGUUUUUUUACAGAAUAAUCGUUUUUUGUGAUUUAUUGAUUUGGUCAUUUGAUUAGAUGUGUGAUGUUGUUGGUAUGGUCCGUGUAUGAGCUUAGCCCCGUAUAGUCUGUGUGAGAGUAGUCCCUUGUUUUUCCAGCGAAGCCUAUCUCUGUUGGUGUAUGUCAUGCCACAGGUUAGUUGGAGAAGUCAUCCCAUUGAGAAGUCAUCCCCUUGAGAAGUGGCCCCGUGAAGAAGUGAAGAGGGAAACCGUGGAGAGGCCCCCCACUUCUGUGUUUUUUUCAAGCAGCCAGGAGAAAAGCUGUCACUUUUAGAUUUGAAGAUAGCGUUCUCUGUCGACACUGUUUGAGAAUAACUGUCUUGAAGUGUAGAAGUUAGCCCCUGAAAAAGCCCCCCCCUUGUCUGUGUUGCCCCUUGUUUUUUUUUUUUUUUUGACUAAUCUAUCUUUGUAGGUGUCAAAAGGAUGCCAGAGGUUAGUUAAAAAGAGCCCGUGAAGUAGUAGUUGAAGUCUCCCCCCCAGUGAAGUAGUUGAAGUCCCCCCGUGAAUGAAGUAUGUCUUUUUGUAUCUGACAUGUCACAAGUGUAAUACUCGUGAUGAAGGAAGUGUUGUUCAGCUAUCUGUGAACACUUUCAUUAGUAGUCGGAGCAAGAAAUGUCUUAUCCCGUGUGAGCUCAUAUAGGAACCAAAUUUCAAUAUUGUUUGUGUUUGUAAGCCCCUGAGUAUAUCUAGAAGUCAAAAAGUAUGUUGUUGUCUGUUUGUUUGUCUAUCCCUGUUUUGUCUGGAAGUUUUAGAGCCCAUUGUCUGUUGUCCCGUGUUGUCUAUUAGCCUGUGUUGUCUAUUAGCCCGUGUUGUCUAUUAGCCCGUGUUGUCUAUUAGCCCGUGUUGUCUAUUAGCCCGUGUUGUCUGUUAGCCCGUGUCCGUGCUGGAGUUUGAUUUUUUUUGGCGAAUAGUUAGUUGACCUCUCUUCUCUUUGUUGAUUGAAAGUAGGCCAAGAGCAGAAGCUGUGACAAGGCUGGUGAGGUUAGGAUCUGGCCGCGUUGAGUACAGGUGAAGCUUGCUUUCGGUCGAUAAAUGGAAGCGGUUGUUCGUCAGAACUGUCAUACUUUCCAAUGUCCCUUUGGUCUUCCCCUUGCGUGUUGCUUUCAUCCCCUGUUUUGAAAAAGUAGCCCCCCGUUUUGAAAAAUAAAGUCCACCCCCAGUCUUGAGAAAUGAAAUGCCCCCAGUUUUGAAAAGUAAGUCUAUCCCCAGUUUUGAAAAGUAAAGCCCAACCCCCCUGUCUUGAAAAAUGAAGUCUAUCCCCUGUUUCGAAAAGUGAAGUGUAGCCCUGUUUUGAAAAUGAAGUCUUUCCCCAGCUUGUGAUUUGAAAAUGAGAGAGUUGUCUAGUGAACGUUCAUGAAAGGUUCUUAUGUCCUGGAUUGGACUGUUGAUUGAAAACGUAAUGAUGUAGUGUUCUCUAUAUCAUAUGUUGCGUUCAUUUCCCUUAGUCUUGUUUAAAAAGUUUGAUAUCCUGUUUGAACCCAGUAUACUAGUCUUUUUGGUCUUUUGUUGUUGUCACACAUACCCCCUCCCCCUUGUUAGUCUUGUUUUGAUUUUAGCCCUUGUUGUUGUCAUAUACCCCUUUGUCUAGCCCUGUCUUGUUUGAAUGAGUUGUUGAAGUAAGUUGUUGGUGAGAUUUUGUCUCACUGAGGUGUUUAGACUGGAUUGUCUAAAUCCUCGUUUUGCAGAACCGUUGCCGAAAUGUCCCGUGAAACUCGCUAGGUGUUAGCAGAGUUUGGGCAGAUGUUUAUCUGUCAAACAUCAACUUUUUAGUUUUUGUGAACCGCUCGCGGUUAGGCAACGAGGUGACAAGGCUGUGUCUGCCCUGGUAUGUCACUUGUGUUACUGCUGUGGAUGUCAGCGAGGUCCACACAGGGCACAAGAUUAUUUCUUUCCCAAGACACAGAAACUCUUAUCACCUACAGUUCUUAUUAGAGUCUUAACAUUUAAGUCUACUCGACUUUAAAGAGUCUGGCGAUUGAUGGCACGCUAGCCCAUUCCCUAAUGAUGUUUUGUUUUUGUUUAAUCCCCAUUAGCCAUUAUUUAAAUAUUUUGGUAUUGUUGUCCUGUCACACCCAAGAAGUCAAUGUUGGAUUUUUGUAGUUAUCGAAAACUGAAUUGGUAAUCCAGUUUCCUCUCUUCCGAGGAGGCUAUUGUAGCAGAUGGAUUUCUACUACAAUAUUUUAUAAAAAAUAUCCAUUAAUUUUAAUCCUAUCCCAAGAAAAAUAUUAAUUUUUUUAAUAUAUUUUGCGAGUUUAUAUAUCUUUAAAAUUUCCUAAGCCGCUCCUGUUCGCAUUGUAAAGGUUAGGAAAUUUCCUAUUUAUUUGUGUAGCAAUAACCAACUACGUAGAUUGUUAUUGAAAACAUCCAUUAUUCGAGAAUGAAUCCUCUAAAAGGUUUGGUGUUUUUCCUUUAAGUUUUGAGCGCUAAAAACCCUAUGAUAUUAUUGGUCAGAAUUUUGAAAGAUCCUUGAGUUGUAGUUGACGAUUGGUCAAUAGUUUUGGCCGAACGAUCGAGAAGAAAUGCAUCGUUGGGACGCGAGAGAGACGUGACGAUGUAAAGUUAGUUCUAAAAGUACAUCAGCUCUGUAAGCAUCUUUUUGUUAGAACUCAAAAAGUCGCACUUUGCCGGCCAAAAUGGUUUUCUUCUUAUAGUAAAAGAACUAAUGGAUUUCUAACAUGUCAAGGAAUAUAAUGACAAUAGUUUCACGGCAUUUUAAUGGAUAUAUUAUUGUGAAACAGUUCUAUUGUUAUGCAGUUUGAUUUGCCGGUAAAAGAAGUGCGUGGUUUCCUGGUUCCUGUCCUUUAUGUAGCUGUUGCUAUUUUUAUGAUGUUUUGAUUUGUUCAUGUUCCAGUAAGAAAUGCCCAGAUGAUAUUAUUUGGUAUCGAUUUUAUCCAGUUUUGUAAUGAUUUGAAUAUCUUCCCCUCCCAGCCCCGUCUGAAUGGAAAAUUUUGCAGUUCCAAGUGUUGUGACAUGGAUUUUUGUUUUAACAAGGUAUGAUAAUGUUUAUUUUAAAUAAUUCACAAGUGGAUAUUAUUGGUAAAGGUUUUACAUAAUUAAAAAUGUUUGUUUUCAACAUGGAAAAUAUAUUAUGUAAAGUAAAUAUUAGAUGGCAGUGACAUUUGACAGCCAUGUCAAAUUUUUGUUUUGGUACACUGCUAAAAAUAAGGUUAAAAAUUGUAAAAUCAUGUAUUUUGUUAUUAUUCAUUUCUGGUUUGAGAAUGUGUCUAUUCUCAAUAAAAAUAAAAAGGUAUUAAGGUUUAGAUAAACAUUAUAAAAUGUACACAUCUUUAUUUCUGUAACCUCUUUAUUUAAGAAAAUUAUUAACAGAUAUCUAAUACAAGUGAAUAAGUUUUAGAACAGAAGAAAAUAUAAUGGCAUAGAAGCCAAAUGAUAAUAAGUAGCCCACUAUAACCCCAACGAGGAAUCUACGAUGAAUGUCCCCCAGUUGCUUUCCAGUAAGUACUCGAUAUGAGAAUUUGAGGAUUUUUCAAACGGCGUCCCAAUUUGUUUAAAUAGUAGGAAAGUCCUCAAGUCUGUACGUCAGCCAAAGGGGCUUUCUUCGAGGACGGAACGAAGAACAGGAUAUUGUUUUAUUUUAUUAUUUUGAUUUUACUUUGUAUCUAAAGAACAAGAAUAUAUAUACUCAGUUUUGCUGA
Diabrotica virgifera virgifera (western corn rootworm) is the source of this 6233-nucleotide long non-coding RNA. RefSeq lists it as uncharacterized. NCBI's taxonomy places the organism in Eukaryota, Metazoa, Arthropoda, Insecta, Coleoptera, Chrysomelidae. The record is from RefSeq and is a predicted model, not a curated record. The transcript is spliced from 2 exons.